RNAcentral lists this long non-coding RNA (1402 nucleotides) under Marmota monax (woodchuck). Lineage: Eukaryota; Metazoa; Chordata; Mammalia; Rodentia; Sciuridae. The record is from RNAcentral.
GGGGCCGCGCUGCGCGUGCGCGCUUCCCGCGGCCAAGGGUCUCUGGCUUGCCGGGCGGGGGCGGGGCCUGGGCCGGGGCAAAGCUUUGGGGCCUCUUGCUGCCUCGCAAGGCUGGGCGGGAUUCACGGACCCCAGCAGGUGCAGUAUGGUGGCCUUGGCGGGUAGCUCCGGAGCGGCCUAGCUCUGGCCCGGUCGGCGGCGGUGGGGCUGCCCGAGAGGCGCGGCCUGCGGGCUCCCGCCCCUGAAAUUCGCGACGCCCGCGGUGGUCAUUUCGGGUUCCACUCCCUAGACUCCUAGUAUGACACUCUGGUAGGAAGCAGGUUCUUGUUUUCAGGCCAUCACCACUUUACUGAGGCCGAUCGUUGUUGCGGGAGGGGGUUAAGGGAGGUCCACCCGAACGAACCGUGGGUCAGGGAGGGGACAUCCUGGAGCUGCGGAGGCCACCGCGGCCGUGCGGCGGGUAGGUGAGCCGGCAGCCAGGGGACCCUAUGGAGAAGAUGUCGAAUAACUGCCUCCGUUUAGGAGCGGUAUUACGUGGAGGGGCCAGGGGGCCUUCCGGACUGCUGGGAACUUGCCCUGACCGGACUUGGGUUACACGGGCGUGCGUAUGAACCAGCUGCCCUCCUAAGAUCAAUGUAUGUCACUGUGGAUGCAUCUGUAUAUAACCUUGAUUGGUUAAAUGCAGAACAAAAUAAUCGGGUAUUGGAGGUCAGAGUAGUGGUCACCUUUGGAGAUUGCUGGCUUUUGGUCCCCUGACCAGGGAAGCCCAGCUGUUGUGUUCUCAGGCACCCAUGAGGGUCUGCUGUAUGUUUAACAAUAAACUUUUAUUUGGGCUGGCUCCAGUGAAUUUCUGAUCUUUGCAAUCAAAACACCAACCCCAGGAAUAAGCUAACCUAUCCUCAGCACUCCAGAAUGUACACACAACCUAGUUACUUCAAGCCACAAUCAAUGACUUUGUUCAGAAAUUAGAAUGUUCAGUCCUAGAGUUAAGCCUCUGAAGUUUAUUUGACUUUAGCUCUAUCCUUGGGCCCCUUAGAGCCUAAGAUGAGCAAUGGCAAGAGGACACAGUGCCUGGCACCCUCCUUGUUGUUUUUUUUUCCCCCAGUCUCAGGUAUGCUCAACCGGCUCCUGCUGGUCUGAAACUGUCAGGGAGAGGGAAUGGGGAAGUUUGGGAAGAACUAUGGUUCUAUCUCUGGACUAGUGUUAGAGUCUGUAAACAAGUCAAAAUAACACCUGGCAUUUAGCCAGGGGAAUGUUAGAGUUGGUAAACAAGUCUGGAUGGUGCCUGGCAAAAUGCCAGAGGGAGUGGUUUGUGAAGUAACACCAGCAAGCCAUUAAGUGUGGAGAUUCCUGAUUGGUUGACUGAUGUAUCUAGUUUAUGCUAAUUAGAUAAGCUGUGUGG